ACGACGCCAUCUGGUGAAUGGCUUGGCUUAGGUGACGAUGAAGGGCGUGGCAAGCUGCGAUAAGCCUCGGGGAGACGCAAGCAGUCAUCGAUCCGAGGAUUCCCUAAUGGGACUUCCCGCUCAAGGUAACACUUGAGCAUUCGGGCAGACAUUUGUCCGAAGGUGAACCUCCCGAAAGGAAGCAUCUGAGUAGGGAGAGGAAGAGAAAUCAAAUGAGAUCCCCUAAGUAGGGGCGACCGAAAUGGGGAUAGCCCAAACCGAAUCCCAUGCAGAGAUGUGUGGGAGAUGUAGUGUGCCUGGUGGUAAAUGUAGGCUGGAGUGCUCAGUCGAAGUGGCUUGGAACAGCCUGGCGGAGAUGGUGAAACCCCAGUAGACGAAAAGCAUGAUAGCUUAUACUACCAGGAAGAGUACCUGGCCUUGGCAGUGGCUAGGGAAGAUGGGGGAAAGCAGCCUCCAAGGCUAAAUACAACCUAAGACCGAUAGCGCAAUAGUACCGUGAGGGAAAGCUGAAAAGAACCCCGGAAGGGGGGUGAAAAGAGCCUGAAACCAGAUGGUUACAGACGUAUGUUGCUCAAAAGGUUCCUAGGUUAUGCAGCUGACUCGCAAGAGCCAGAGGCAUACCAACGAACCAGAGUGACAUGUUCCGUCUAGAAACACGGGCCGGGGAGUUCAUCUUCAUGGCAAGCUUAAGGGUAAAACCCGAAGGCGAAGGGAAACCAAGACCUCGCAAUGCUUAAUGCAUGAGGAGGGGGGUCUUAAAUGGGCCCUGUAGUCAUGAGGAUGAGACUAGAAACCGAGCGAUCUUGUCCUGAGCAGGAUGAAGCUGGGCGAAAGCCCGGUGGAGGUCCGAAAGGGUGGUGACGUGCAACUCCCUCCCCAGACUCGGGAUAAGGGGCCAAAAGCCAAUCUAGCUCGGUGAUAUCUAGUUCCCACCGAAGUAGAUCUAAGUCUAGCCUAGGCGGAUGUUGCCAACGCUGUAGAGCACCGAUCGAAAGGCAAGGAUCCGAAAGGGUCCACCUUUCUUUCGAACUCCGAAGGUGUUGGCUCAAAAGAAGCCUAGAGACGGGUUUGUGUGGGGUAAGCCUCACAACCGAGAGGGGGUUAACCCAGACUUGAGUUAAGGUCCCUAAGUGCUGGCUAAGUGUCAAGCUAAAGGGAGUUUCUCUGCUAAGACAGCAGGGAGGUAGGCUCAGAAGCGGCCAUCCUUUAAAGAGUGCGUAACAGCUCACCUGCCGAGCAGAGAUGCCCCGAAGAUGGACGGGACUAAAGCCAGCCACCGAUACUCAGGACCACCUCUUCUAAGGUGUGUGGUAGGUGGGCGUGGAGGUUGGGUGGAAGCAGGACUGUGAAGCCCUGUGGACCGACUUCCAGUGCAGAUCCCGGUGGUAGUAGCAGCGAAGCGUGGUGAGAAUCCACGUCGCCGAAAGGGCAAGGUUUUCCUGGCAACGCGUCGUCGGCCAGGAGGUAGCCGGUCCUAAGCGAUGCCCGAAAGGGUGUGGCGAAGAGGGAAACCCGUUAAUAUUCGGGUGCCUGGAUCUGACCGAGCCAUAUGGCACACUUGACCUUGCGCUUCGGGAUAGGGUGUACGGAGCCGUCGCUCCGUUUAACAGAACAAGGUUCGGGGAGUGUUGUAAUGACGAGAACUGAACCAAGGCUGGAAUAGCCUACCUGUGGGUGGGUACACCUGAUUCCUGGAGACAAUGAAAACAAGGUCGAGGAGGGCAGAUCUAGACCGUACCGAGAACCGACACAGGUGUCCCUAGGUGAGAAGCCUAAGGCGUAUCAGGUAACCGUAGGCGAGGGAACUCGGCAAGUUAGCCCCGUAGCUUCGGUUGAAGGGGUGCCUGCGGUUUUAUCGAUAAGAUGGAAUCGCAGGUCGCAGUUACAAGGGGGUCCCGACUGUUUAAUAAAAACACAGAUGACCGCAAGCCCGAAAGGGUGUGUACGGUCGUUGAAUCCUGGCCAGUGGCGGUACCUAAAACCCUCGUUCAAGAGGGCUAAGGGCCGCUAAACGCCGGGAGUAACUCUGACUCUCUUAAGGUAGCCAAAUGCCUUGUCGGGUAAGUUCCGACGUGCAUGAAUGGACCAACGAGGGCCCCACUGUCCCCGCCUACAACCUGGCGAACCCACGUAAGGUGGACGAACAGUCCAUCAACCCCCAUCGGGGAGAGAAGUCCCUGUGGAGCUUUACUGCAACCUGUUGCUGCGAUGCGGCCAUGGUUGCAGAGUGUAGCCGGGAGCCGUUAUGCACAUCCUUUCGGGGAUGUGAUAGGCGCCAAUGUAACACCGGCCUUCUGUGACUGCGUCGCUAACUAUGCAAAAGCAUAGGACAACGGCAGGCGGGCAGUUCGGCUGGGGCGGCACCCCCUCGAAAAGAUAUCAAGGGGGCCCAAAGAUCGGCUCAGACGGGUCAGAACCCCGUCAAAGAGGGCAAGGCCAAAAGCCGGUCUGACAGGAUCCCUAAAAGCGUCGGAUCCUGGGGCGAAAGCCUGGCCUAGCGAACCUCCAUGUCCCCACUGUUGGGGGCUGGAGACGACAGAAAAGUUACCCCAGGGGUAACAGGCUCGUCGCGGGCGAGAGCUCCUAUCGACCCCGCGGUUUGGUACCUCAUUUAUGGGGUAUGACCGCAGUAAUGCGGGUCAAUAGCAUCGGCUUAUAACGGCGAAGCCCUACCAAAACUAAACAAGAUUAGUGGAAGAGCAAACGAUAACACUGGAGGGUAACGCCGUGGGAAGUCUGGUGUAAGGUUUGCACAAAGCAGAACUAGCAUAUUACCUAUAAUCGUAUACAUGUUAUGUUAUUCUGCUUAGUAUGACCUUCACCAUGACCCCGUAACGACUGAGGUGGCUAAAAAAGCCACCAAUGAGAUAGCAUCCACAAAACGCUGUGAUGCUAUCAUACGCCGACCCCUCAACGUGCAAUAGAGGGUGAAGACAUAGUCUGACUCCGCUGGAGACAGCGGCCAAAGUCGCGAUGUCGGCUCUUCCCAUCCCGGUCCUGCAGCAGGCG
RNAcentral lists this ribosomal RNA (3009 nucleotides) under hot springs metagenome. Its description in RNAcentral is "bacterial LSU rRNA". The stretch from base 1 to 2690 matches the Rfam family "Archaeal large subunit ribosomal RNA". The record is from RNAcentral.